GAUGAACGCUGGCGGCGUGCCUAAUACAUGCAAGUCGAGCGAACAGACGAGGAGCUUGCUCCUCUGAUGUUAGCGGCGGACGGGUGAGUAACACGUGGAUAACCUACCUAUAAGACUGGGAUAACUUCGGGAAACCGGAGCUAAUACCGGAUAACAUGUUGAACCGCAUGGUUCAACAGUGGAAGACGGUCUUGCUGUCACUUAUAGAUGGAUCCGCGCCGCAUUAGCUAGUUGGUAAGGUAACGGCUUACCAAGGCAACGAUGCGUAGCCGACCUGAGAGGGUGAUCGGCCACACUGGAACUGAGACACGGUCCAGAGUCCUACGGGAGGCAGCAGUAGGGAAUCUUCCGCAAUGGGCGAAAGCCUGACGGAGCAAGGCCGCGUGAGUGAAGAAGGUCUUCGGAUCGUAAAACUCUGUUAUUAGGGAAGAACAAAUGUGUAAGUAACUAUGCACGUCUUGACGGUACCUAAUCAGAAAGCCACGGCUAACUACGUG
RNAcentral lists this ribosomal RNA (497 nucleotides) under uncultured bacterium. RNAcentral's name for it is "partial 16S ribosomal RNA". It matches the Rfam family "Bacterial small subunit ribosomal RNA", at positions 28 to 507 of the family's 1533-position model. The record is from RNAcentral.